GAUGAACGCUAGCGGCAGGCUUAACACAUGCAAGUCGAGGGGCAGCGGGGAGGAAGCUUGCUUUCUCCGCCGGCGACCGGCGCACGGGUGAGUAACACGUAUGCAACCUGCCCCUGUCAGGGGGACAACCCGCCGAAAGGCGGGCUAAACCCGCGUACAUGCCACCGGGGCAUCCCGGAGGCAGGAAAGGCUUCGGCCGGACAGGGAUGGGCAUGCGGCGCAUUAGGCAGUAGGCGGGGUAACGGCCCACCUAACCGACGAUGCGUAGGGGUUCUGAGAGGAAGGUCCCCCACACUGGUACUGAGACACGGACCAGACUCCUACGGGAGGCAGCAGUGAGGAAUAUUGGUCAAUGGUCGGGAGACUGAACCAGCCAAGCCGCGUGAGGGAUGAAGGUACAGAGUAUCGUAAACCUCUUUUGUCAGGGAACAAAGGCGGGGACGUGUCCCCGGAUGAGUGUACCUGAAGAAAAAGCAUCGGCUAACUCCGUGCCAGCAGCCGCGGUAAUACGGAGGAUGCGAGCGUUAUCCGGAUUUAUUGGGUUUAAAGGGUGCGCAGGCGGUCUGUUAAGUCAGCGGUCAAAGCCCGGGGCUCAACCCCGGCCCGCCGUUGAAACUGGCAGUCUCGAGUUGGAGAGAAGUAUGCGGAAUGCGCGGUGUAGCGGUGAAAUGCAUAGAUAUCGCGCAGAACUCCGAUUGCGAAGGCAGCAUGCCGGCUCCACACUGACGCUGAGGCACGAAAGCGUGGGUAUCGAACAGGAUUAGAUACCCUGGUAGUCCACGCAGUAAACGAUGAAUGCUGGCUGUCCGGGGGGGAUUGACCCCUGGGUGGCGAAGCGAAAGCGAUAAGCAUUCCACCUGGGGAGUACGCCGGCAACGGUGAAACUCAAAGGAAUUGACGGGGGCCCGCACAAGCGGAGGAACAUGUGGUUUAAUUCGAUGAUACGCGAGGAACCUUACCCGGGCUCAAACGGGGAGUGACUCAGGCAGAGACGCCUGUUUCCCACGGGACACUCCCCGAGGUGCUGCAUGGUUGUCGUCAGCUCGUGCCGUGAGGUGUCGGCUUAAGUGCCAUAACGAGCGCAACCCCCGCGUGCAGUUGCUAACAGAUAACGCUGAGGACUCUGCACGGACUGCCGGCGCAAGCCGCGAGGAAGGCGGGGAUGACGUCAAAUCAGCACGGCCCUUACGUCCGGGGCGACACACGUGUUACAAUGGGUGGUACAGCGGGAAGCCAGGCGGCGACGCCGAGCGGAACCCGAAAUCCACUCUCAGUUCGGAUCGGAGUCUGCAACCCGACUCCGUGAAGCUGGAUUCGCUAGUAAUCGCGCAUCAGCCAUGGCGCGGUGAAUACGUUCCCGGGCCUUGUACACACCGCCCGUCAAGCCAUGGGAGCCGAGGGCGCUUGAAGUGCGUCGCCGCGAGGCGCGCCCUAGAGCGAAAUCGGUGACUGGGGCUAAGUCGUAACAAGGUAACC
RNAcentral lists this ribosomal RNA (1476 nucleotides) under uncultured bacterium. Its description in RNAcentral is "16S ribosomal RNA". It matches the Rfam family "Bacterial small subunit ribosomal RNA". The record is from RNAcentral.